CAUUCGUAAAAUAAGUCCCGUGUUGAAAAAAUAUUCAGUUUCUUCCUUUUCCACUUCCUUUUAAGUGUUAAUCUAUCAAUCUCAGCACAUUCUAGUAAUUUUUAUAACACUUUCAUCUGUAGGGGUCUCUUUAUUUUUCCAUUGUUGUGCAAACACAAUUCUUGCUGCCCUUAACACAUGUAAAAUUAAGUAUGUUUUCUCUUUGUUUUACUGAUCUGGUAAUAUACCCAACAAGAAUAUUUCUAGUUUCAAAUCUGUAUGUUGCUUUAUCAUUUUUUCUAACCAAGUAUGUUAGAACAGUGUUG
Non-coding RNA from Notechis scutatus (mainland tiger snake), 305 nucleotides. The record is from RefSeq and is a predicted model, not a curated record. Lineage: Eukaryota; Metazoa; Chordata; Lepidosauria; Squamata; Elapidae.